RNAcentral lists this non-coding RNA (29 nucleotides) under Arabidopsis thaliana (thale cress). Lineage: Eukaryota; Viridiplantae; Streptophyta; Magnoliopsida; Brassicales; Brassicaceae. RNAcentral also lists the same sequence under 8 other names. The record is from RNAcentral.
UUCGAUGUCGGCUCUUCCUAUCAUUGUGA